AGCAGUCGCCGCGGUAAUACAGAGGGUGCAAGCGUUAAUCGGAAUUACUGGGCGUAAAGCGUGCGUAGGCGGUUUGUUAAGUCUGCUGUGGAAUCCCCGGGCUCAACCUGGGAAUGGCAGUGGAUACUGGCAAGCUAGAGUGUGUCAGAGGAUGGUGGAAUUCCCGGUGUAGCGGUGAAAUGCGUAGAGAUCGGGAGGAACAUCAGUGGCGAAGGCGGCCAUCUGGGACAACACUGACGCUGAGGCACGAAAGCGUGGGGAGCAAACAGGAUUAGAUACCCCGGUAGUCCCUGUCUCUUAUAC
RNAcentral lists this ribosomal RNA (303 nucleotides) under uncultured bacterium. RNAcentral's name for it is "partial 16S ribosomal RNA". It matches the Rfam family "Bacterial small subunit ribosomal RNA", at positions 507 to 807 of the family's 1533-position model. The record is from RNAcentral.